This 467-nucleotide ribosomal RNA is filed under the name uncultured bacterium. Its description in RNAcentral is "partial 16S ribosomal RNA". It matches the Rfam family "Bacterial small subunit ribosomal RNA", at positions 28 to 507 of the family's 1533-position model. The record is from RNAcentral.
GACGAACGCUGGCGGCGUGCUUAACACAUGCAAGUCGAACGGAAAGACCCUGCUUUUGUGGGGUGCUCGAGUGGCGAACGGGUGAGUAACACGUGAGUAACCUGCCCUUGACUUUGGGAUAACUUCAGGAAACUGGGGCUAAUACCGGAUAGGAGCUCCUGCUGCAUGGUGGGGGUUGGAAAGUUUCGGCGGUUGGGGAUGGACUCGCGGCUUAUCAGCUUGUUGGUGGGGUAGUGGCUUACCAAGGCUUUGACGGGUAGCCGGCCUGAGAGGGUGACCGGCCACAUUGGGACUGAGAUACGGCCCAGACUCCUACGGGAGGCAGCAGUGGGGAAUAUUGCACAAUGGGCGGAAGCCUGAUGCAGCAACGCCGCGUGCGGGAGGACGGCCUUCGGGUUGUAACCGCUUUCGCCUGUGACGAAGCGUGAGUGACGGUAAUGGGUAAAGAAGCACCGGCUAACUACGUG